CGGUGCCUCUAUCUUCUCAAUUCUCGCGGAGAUCCAGGGUUUUCUGCCCUAAAUCGUUAAAGAUUCGACGAUCCAAGGCGGAAGAGGAGCCUAUCUCAAGCAGAGGGUUUUCUGCCCUAAAUCAUCAAAGAUUCGACGAUCCAUGGCGGAAGAGGAGCCUAUCGAGGGUUUUCUGCCCUAAAUCGUCAUAGAUUCGACGAUCCAUGGCGGAAGAGGAGCCUAUCGAGGGUUUUCUGCCCUAAAUCGUCAAAGAUUCGACGAUCCAUGGUGAGAGAGGAGCUGAUCUCAAGCGAUUUCAAGGUAAAUUCUCCCAUCCUCAAGUUCCCAUCGCUGGAUCCAUGGUGGGGAAGUACUUCGAAGAAAAUCAAAGUUGGGAAAGUUUGUUCAGUGUAAGCAUAUAUUGAGGUUGUAUAUGUUCACUUAUUAGCACUCCCUUGAGCUUGUACCAAGGGGCUUCCUCAACUCUUCCCUAUAACCUCAGGUUAGAACCGGAUUGACUCUAAUUUAAUAUUGAGGACAAAAUAUGCACAAGCUCAAUUCUGUGGACUGUGACUUUCACCUGAAAUUCAUCAUACUGCAGAGUUUGGAGUCUCUGAUUCAAUACUGAUUGUGAAAAGAGGACGGGUGAAUUGAGAACCUAACUUCAUAUGGAUGCACUUAGUGUGAAAGCUACUGCAACAUCUCGUCAGAUCCCAAGUCGAUAGGC
This is a long non-coding RNA of Asparagus officinalis (garden asparagus), 706 nucleotides long. RefSeq lists it as uncharacterized. The record is from RefSeq and is a predicted model, not a curated record. NCBI's taxonomy places the organism in Eukaryota, Viridiplantae, Streptophyta, Magnoliopsida, Asparagales, Asparagaceae. The transcript has 4 exons.